CCUACCGGGGGCAGCAGUGGGGAAUAUUGGGCAAUGGGCGCAAGCCUGACCCAGCAAAGCCGCGUGAAGGAAGAAGGCUUUCGGGUUGUAAACUUCUUUUCUCAGGGACGAAGCAAGUGACGGUACCUGAGGAAUAAGCCACGGCGAACGACGUGCCAGCAGCAGCGGUAAUACGUGGGUGGCAAGCUUUAUCCGGAUUUACUGGGUGUAAAGGGCGUGUAGGCGGGACUGCAAGUCAGAUGUGAAAACCACGGGCUCAACCUGUGGCCUGCAUUUGAAACUGUAGUUCUUGAGUACUGGAGAGGCAGACGGAAUUCCUAGUGUAGCGGUGAAAUGCGUAGAUAUUAGGAGGAACACCAGUGGCGAAGGCGGUCUGCUGGACAGCAACUGACGCUGAGGCGCGAAAGCGUGGGGAGCAAACAGGAUUAGAUACCCUUGUAGUC
This 443-nucleotide ribosomal RNA is filed under the name uncultured bacterium. RNAcentral describes it as "partial 16S ribosomal RNA". It matches the Rfam family "Bacterial small subunit ribosomal RNA", at positions 338 to 795 of the family's 1533-position model. The record is from RNAcentral.